UCGUCAUAUGCUUGUCAGAAGGAUUAAGCCAUGCAUGUCUAAGUAUAAACUAAUUAUACGGUGAAACUGCGAAUGGCUCAUUAAAUCAGUUAUAGUCUACUUGAUCGUACCAAUUUUUCUUACUUGGAUAACCGUAGGAAAUCUAGGGCUAAUACAUGCUAAAAACGCUGACUAUCAAGGGGAAACUCUUGGUUCGGAAGGCGUGAAUUUAUUAGAUUAAAAACCAAUGUGGGGUUCGCUCCACUUUUUCCCUAGACGAUUCAUGAUAACGCAUCGAA
This 278-nucleotide ribosomal RNA is filed under the name uncultured eukaryote. Its description in RNAcentral is "partial 18S ribosomal RNA". It matches the Rfam family "Eukaryotic small subunit ribosomal RNA", at positions 21 to 268 of the family's 1831-position model. The record is from RNAcentral.